This 120-nucleotide ribosomal RNA is filed under the name Vibrio splendidus. RNAcentral describes it as "partial 16S ribosomal RNA". It matches the Rfam family "Bacterial small subunit ribosomal RNA", at positions 1426 to 1533 of the family's 1533-position model. Lineage: Bacteria; Pseudomonadati; Pseudomonadota; Gammaproteobacteria; Vibrionales; Vibrionaceae. The record is from RNAcentral.
GUGGGUAGUUUAACCUUUCGGGGAGGACGCUCACCACUUUGUGGUUCAUGACUGGGGUGAAGUCGUAACAAGGUAGCCCUAGGGGAACCUGGGGCUGGAUCACCUCCUUAUACGAAGAUA